This 623-nucleotide non-coding RNA is filed under the name Pan troglodytes (chimpanzee). The record is from RNAcentral. Lineage: Eukaryota; Metazoa; Chordata; Mammalia; Primates; Hominidae.
UUGGAUUUCCUUUGGCAGGGUUCCCUUGUAUGGAAGUUCUCAGGAGAACAACACUCUCAGAGUCCCAUUGUCUCAAAGAAUUCUUAAUGGACAGGUAUUUUUAAAGAAGUCAGGGUUAUCCACAGCUAUGUACAUAUAAUACCAAAUCAGAUCAUUUAUUCUGUACCUGAGGCAAAAAAGCUUCUGAUUCCUGAAUGGAUUUCUUCACUGGUUCUUCUGGGGGAUGAGAGAGAGAAACCAUUUACAAAGCUGAAGGAGAGCUAAGUCCACCCCUACACUGGCUGAGUUUCUUUGUAUAACAACUGUUCUCCCUUCCUAUUUUCUUCAAUUAUCUCUUCUUUCCCCAGCUAUACUUGGCCCCAAGGUUUCAACCUCAGACUGAAGAAAGUGACAUAAGAAAACACAAGUCCCAGUGCUAUCAGGGGCUAUCUGGAAAAGCUGCUUAAACAGCAAGUGAAAGAAGGCUCUCCCCUACCCCGUUCUAGACUCACCCUGAAGUUAUUUGAAGGAUCCUUGAGACUCUUUUGGAUUGCUGCUUGGAGAACAUUCCUGUAACUUGUCCCUGCUCCUUGAACUAUAAAAGCAGAAGGGAGGUACUGAGUUAAAACUUAUAAAUUAUUAUC